UACGAAGGGGGCUAGCGUUGCUCGGAAUGACUGGGCGUAAAGGGCGCGUAGGCGGUUCGUACAGUCAGACGUGAAAUUCCCGGGCUCAACCUGGGGGCUGCGUUUGAUACGGACGGGCUUGAGUUCGGAAGAGGGUCGUGGAAUUCCCAGUGUAGAGGUGAAAUUCGUAGAUAUUGGGAAGAACACCGGUGGCGAAGGCGGGUCUCUGGGCCGAUACUGACGCUGAGGAGCGAAAGCGUGGGGAGCGAACAGG
RNAcentral lists this ribosomal RNA (253 nucleotides) under uncultured bacterium. Its description in RNAcentral is "partial 16S ribosomal RNA". It matches the Rfam family "Bacterial small subunit ribosomal RNA", at positions 524 to 776 of the family's 1533-position model. The record is from RNAcentral.